UACGGGGGGAGCAAGCGUUGUUCGGAUUUACUGGGCGUAAAGGGCGCGUAGGCGGUCGUGACAAGUCACUUGUGAAAUCUCCGGGCUUAACUCGGAACGGUCAAGUGAUACUGUCGGACUAGAGUACAGAAGGGGCAACUGGAAUUCUCGGUGUAGCGGUGAAAUGCUUAGAUAUGACAUAGAACACCAAUUGCGAAGGCAGCUUACUACCCGAAUAUUGACACUGAGGCACGAAAGCGUGGGGAUCAAACAGG
This 254-nucleotide ribosomal RNA is filed under the name uncultured bacterium. Its description in RNAcentral is "partial 16S ribosomal RNA". It matches the Rfam family "Bacterial small subunit ribosomal RNA", at positions 524 to 776 of the family's 1533-position model. The record is from RNAcentral.